GCGGAUUUAGCUCACCCGGUAGGAGCGCAGAAGCAGCGAGUUCGAGUCUCGUAAUCCGCUCCA
RNAcentral lists this transfer RNA (63 nucleotides) under Candidatus Faeciplasma pullistercoris. RNAcentral describes it as "tRNA-OTHER". The record is from RNAcentral. Lineage: Bacteria; Bacillati; Bacillota; Clostridia; Eubacteriales; Oscillospiraceae.